GAAUAAGCACCGGCUAACUCCCUGCCAGCAUCCGCGGUAAUACGGAGGGUUCAACCGUUAUCCGGAUUUAUUGGGUUUAAAGGGUGUCGUAGGCGGUUUAUUAAGUCAGUUGUGAAAGCUGGUCGCUCAACGAUUCAGUGCCAUUGAUAGCUGGUAGNCUUGUGUGNGAAUGAGGUANCUCCAUGGAUACUGUAACGGUGGAAUGCAUAGAUAUUAUCCAGAACCCAAUUGCGUAGGCAA
Molecule: ribosomal RNA, 240 nt
Filed under: uncultured bacterium
Lineage: Bacteria
Description: partial 16S ribosomal RNA
Rfam family: Bacterial small subunit ribosomal RNA
Source: RNAcentral